This 198-nucleotide ribosomal RNA is filed under the name uncultured bacterium. Its description in RNAcentral is "partial 16S ribosomal RNA". It matches the Rfam family "Bacterial small subunit ribosomal RNA", at positions 326 to 539 of the family's 1533-position model. The record is from RNAcentral.
ACGCUCGACACCUACGGUAGGCAGCAGUGGGGAAUAUUGCACAAUGGGGGAAACCCUGAUGCAGCGACGCCGCGUGGAGGAAGAAGGUCUUCGGAUUGUAAACUCCUGUUGUUGGGGAAAAAGAGGAUGGUACCCAACAAGGAAGUGACGGCUAACUACGUGCCUGCAGCCGCGGUAAUCUGAGCGGGCUGGCAAGGC